UUCUUUUUUCUCAAUUUUUUGGCUCUUUUUAAUCAUUUUAAUUAUUUAAAGAAAAUAUCCCUCACUUUAAUCUGUGCAGUUAUGACCUAAUCAUCUUCUAAAACAUUACAUAUCCUUUCAGAAAUAACUUCUGAAGCAUUACAAACCCUUUGGGAAAUAAAAUUUCUGAAGGAGAUAUCUUCAGUGAUUAGGUUUCUCAUAUAUCUCAAGUUGCACCUCUGUUGCUUCUAAAGGAGAGAUCUUCAGUGAUUAGGCUAUCUUUUUUCAUCUUUUUUCUUUCCUAUGUUGUUUAAUUAAAUUUUCAAGUAAUAGAUGAUAAUAUUUUGCUAUCUCUGGCCCGAUUUGAUUUAAAUGGUAUCAAAACGUGAAAUUGAAAACAAAAGCUAGAGAUCUGAUGAAGUUUUAAUUGAAUUAUUGGAGAGUAUUUCAUUGUUGCCAUUUUAUGUAUUAUGAACUCAAUGAUUUCUAGCAGAAAUUGAUAUUUCUCUAUUAAUAGCCAGAAUUUCUCCCAAAUUUGUUAUGUGUCAUGCUGUUUAUAAGCUAUCAACAUAAAUGCCUUUAAAAUUAUUGGGAUUAGUGCGUUUAGUUUUGUUUCAAUGUUCUUUUUUCUACUUAAUCCUCAAGUAAAUUUGGCCCUUUUGCAGGAUUCUUUCAUAAGCUUGAUUGUCUCAACAUCUGAACUUACCAGCUAAAACUAUGCAACUAAUGAAAAUCUCCCAGCAAACGUUAUAAAACAACUGGCAAAGGAACUGAAAAAUCUUGAUGAAUCUCCUCUUGAGGGCAUCAAAGUUGGUGUAAACGAUGAUAUGAUUUUUCAAUCAUAUUUGCUGAUAUUAAGGGCCCAGCUGGGACUCCUUACGAGAACGGGGUUUUCCGCAUGAAGUUGAUUUUGACAGAUGAUUUCCCUCAUUCUCCAUCAAAAGGAUCCCAAGCAGACAGCAACAAGAGAGACACAAAGCCCUAUACAACAAUGUUUGCAUGCUUGCCAAAUGAAAACUCUUUGGCAGCAAAGAAGACACUAAAACAGCUCCAAGUAGAGAGCAACAAGAGAGACGCAAAGCUCUAUACAACAAUAUUUGCACGCUUGUCAAAUGAAAAUUAAACUCUUCGGCAGCAAAGGUUUGUUUCAUGACUUCCUCAUUCUUACCUACAGGAGGGAAUGUACGAGCAUUGGAAAGGUGAGGGUUAGGCUCUUGAUUCUUGUAAUCGAGAAUGUAUACACACAUUCGUACCCUCUUAUUGUCCUGCAACCAUCGGGCGUUAAAAUGAUGGGAGAAGUUCAAUUAGCUGUGAGGUUUUCGUGUACGUCUUAUGUCAAUAUGUUGUCUAAUGCACUCAACCGUUGUUUCCAUAGAUGCAUUAUGUUCUUCCAUUGUCUAUAAGUUAGCAAGAUUUCUUCAGGUUCCAAACUAUUUAAAUACUGUCAACGAGGCUAGGCCAAGCAGAACCACCAUUGAAAAAAGAGCUUGUGGACUAUAUGCUAGACGUUGGUUCGGACAUAUGGAGCUUAAGGAGGGCAAAGUCUAAUUUUUUCAGAUUAAUGUAUGUUGUGAGCCCAAUAAUGGCAAUUGAGAAAUGAUUUGAUCAAAUAUGUCAUUGGAAGAAUCCACUUACUAGAAUUCUAAUUCACAUACUCUUUAUAAUA
Capsicum annuum is the source of this 1645-nucleotide RNA transcript. RefSeq lists it as uncharacterized. The transcript is spliced from 5 exons. The record is from RefSeq and is a predicted model, not a curated record. NCBI's taxonomy places the organism in Eukaryota, Viridiplantae, Streptophyta, Magnoliopsida, Solanales, Solanaceae.